CGCUAUCACUCCUACGGGGAGGCAGCAGUAGGGAAUCUUCCACAAUGGGCGCAAGCCUGAUGGAGCAACACCGCGUGAGUGAAGAAGGGUUUCGGCUCGUAAAGCUCUGUUGUUAAAGAAGAACACGUAUGAGAGUAACUGUUCAUACGUUGACGGUAUUUAACCAGAAAGUCACGGCUAACUACGUGCCAGCAGCCGCGGUAAUACGUAGGUGGCAAGCGUUAUCCGGAUUUAUUGGGCGUAAGAGAGUGCAGGCGGUUUUCUAAGUCUGAUGUGAAAGCCUUCGGCUUAACCGGAGAAGUGCAUCGGAAACUGGAUAACUUGAGUGCAGAAGAGGGUAGUGGAACUCCAUGUGUAGCGGUGGAAUGCGUAGAUAUAUGGAAGAACACCAGUGGCGAAGGCGGCUACCUGGUCUGCAACUGACGCUGAGACUCGAAAGCAUGGGUAGCGAACAGGAUUAGAUACCCUGGUAG
This 473-nucleotide ribosomal RNA is filed under the name uncultured bacterium. Its description in RNAcentral is "bacterial SSU rRNA". It matches the Rfam family "Bacterial small subunit ribosomal RNA", at positions 328 to 793 of the family's 1533-position model. The record is from RNAcentral.